GCUUACGGCCAUACCACUCUGAGCACGCCCGAUCUCGUCUGAUCUCGGAAGCUAAG
Molecule: ribosomal RNA, 56 nt
Filed under: Acinetobacter baumannii
Lineage: Bacteria; Pseudomonadati; Pseudomonadota; Gammaproteobacteria; Moraxellales; Moraxellaceae
Source: RNAcentral